AUUGAACGCUGGCGGCAUGCCUUACACAUGCAAGUCGAACGGCAGCGGGGGAGAAGCUUGCUUUUCCUGCCGGCGAGUGGCGAACGGGUGAGUAAUACAUCGAAACGUGCCCUGUAGUGGGGGAUAACUAGUCGAAAGAUUAGCUAAUACCGCAUACGACCUGAGGGUGAAAGUGGGGGACCGCAAGGCCUCAUGCUAUAGGAGCGGCCGAUGUCUGAUUAGCUAGUUGGUGGGGUAAAGGCCUACCAAGGCGACGACCAGUAGCUGGUCUGAGAGGACGAUCAGCCACACUGGGACUGAGACACGGCACAGACUCCUACGGGAGGCAGCAGUGGGGAAUUUUGGACAAUGGGCGAAAGCCUGAUCCAGCAAUGCCGCGUGUGUGAAGAAGGCCUUCGGGUUGUAAAGCACUUUUGUCCGGAAAGAAAUGGCUCUGGUUAAUACCUGGGGUCGAUGACGGUACCGGAAGAAUAAGGACCGGCUAACUACGUGCCAGCCGCCGCCGUAA
This 508-nucleotide ribosomal RNA is filed under the name uncultured bacterium. Its description in RNAcentral is "partial 16S ribosomal RNA". It matches the Rfam family "Bacterial small subunit ribosomal RNA", at positions 30 to 523 of the family's 1533-position model. The record is from RNAcentral.